GUUCUGUCCCAGCACAAGGAGAUGGCCCUGAAGCUGGGAGAUGGAGCCUGGGAGCAGCAGGCCAGAAAAGGCUUCUUGGGGGAGUUUGCUCAGCUGUAAAUUAGGGACAACGCUGUUCCCAGCUCUGGCGUUGUGAGGGGCCACACAGACCCGCACACGGCAUCGGACGGCAUGACGGUCAUUACUACUGUCACCAGUGGGCGCGAGAUGGGCGUUCUGCAGUCAAAGCUGGCGGAGAGUGACCCUGUCACCGGCUGUGUGACCUUAGGUCUGUACCUACCUCGCGGGGCCCGGGGCUCGGCGCGGCCAUCGCCCCCGCAGCAGCUUCCCGGGCUUUGGCCGAGUCCCC
Molecule: long non-coding RNA, 349 nt
Organism: Chinchilla lanigera (long-tailed chinchilla)
Lineage: Eukaryota; Metazoa; Chordata; Mammalia; Rodentia; Chinchillidae
Exons: 3
Source: RefSeq, a predicted model, not a curated record